GAUUUGGCUCAUGUUAUGUUUAUGUAUCAUCAUUAGCAUUGUUUAUUUUGUUGGAAAUCCAUUUUUAUAAUGAGUGAACACCGAAAUAUUUAGGUUGAUACAAACGUGGAAAAAACGUUUAGCAAGAAGGUAGAUAUAAAGGUAAACAUGAAGGUAGACAUAAAGGUAGACGUAAAGGUUAACACAAAAGUAGACCUAAAAGUAGUCAUAACGGUAGACAUAAAGGUAGACAUAAAGGUAAACAUAAAGGU
Xenia sp. Carnegie-2017 is the source of this 251-nucleotide long non-coding RNA. RefSeq lists it as uncharacterized. The record is from RefSeq and is a predicted model, not a curated record. The transcript has 2 exons. NCBI's taxonomy places the organism in Eukaryota, Metazoa, Cnidaria, Anthozoa, Malacalcyonacea, Xeniidae.